UUCAGAGUUAGAGUUGGUCCAGAGCUAGUUAGCCCAGAGUUAGCCAAGCAGAGGCUACAGGUGAGUGGAACUACACUUUAUAAUUUUAAAUUCAGAAAUGACAUACUUCUAGCAUGUUCCAUGCAUCAUAAAAUGCCAUGUUUUAUAUUAGGUUGUAUUGCAUUCGUUUCACGAAUUUGAUGCAUUGCAUAAGAUGAUAUUUGUAUGGAUGAAUGUUGGAUGAUCCUUAGCCCUUAAUAGAGCACAGAGUACAGAUACA
This 259-nucleotide long non-coding RNA is filed under the name Manihot esculenta (cassava). RNAcentral's name for it is "long non-coding RNA (MESC_LNC001258)". The record is from RNAcentral. Lineage: Eukaryota; Viridiplantae; Streptophyta; Magnoliopsida; Malpighiales; Euphorbiaceae.